UAAUAGAUGAGUCAAUGCAGCAUGAUAAUUCCAUCAUUUAAUUAAGAAGCGAUGCCAUAUUUAACAACUUACUAAAAUUGCAAUUUAUGAUGCAUAUGAGAAAUUUAAAAACCAAAGUGCUAAUUAUUGGUGU
Long non-coding RNA from Hibiscus syriacus, 133 nucleotides. RefSeq lists it as uncharacterized. Lineage: Eukaryota; Viridiplantae; Streptophyta; Magnoliopsida; Malvales; Malvaceae. The record is from RefSeq and is a predicted model, not a curated record. The transcript is spliced from 3 exons.